RNAcentral lists this unclassified non-coding RNA (1594 nucleotides) under Hevea brasiliensis (rubber tree). The record is from RNAcentral. Lineage: Eukaryota; Viridiplantae; Streptophyta; Magnoliopsida; Malpighiales; Euphorbiaceae.
UAUUUUCAAAUCAUUUAACAUCAGUUCACAGUGCUAGAUGCUACACAUGUUCAUGUGCAUGUGCGUGAAUGAGUGUUAAUGAGGAUUUCUUUAGGAGAUGGGUUGAUAUUUGUAUUUGGGCUUAGUUAACUUGUAAGUUGUUAGCAUACCUGCUUCUUGGCUUUUUUUCCUCACCUCUGAAUGGAAAACAAGAUGGUAAUAUGACAAAAUAAUGUACGCACAAUGGAUAAAAAAAUCAACAAUAUCAACAAAUUAAAUGGUCUUAUAGCGACUGUUCGUCUGUUCCAGAACAGCAAUAACAUGCCAAAUUCAGAACAAGCUUGUCUUCUAGACGAGUAUAUUGCGUUAUCACAUGAAAUGAAUCAAUCUUGUGUUAGAUGGUCAUUGAGAGGAGUGGGUUGUUUUCAGAUAGUGCAAGUGCUUAAACAGUUAAAGUCACAGUCGUCACUGUAGUUUAUGCUCAUUAUUUAAAGCAAUGGCAAAAUUUUCUCAUGUGUCAUAGCGUCAAUUAAAUAGUAGUAAAUUGCUAGCUAACAAUAUUUGAAGACACACUUCCUUUGUCUAACAUGAUCAUAUGUUUUAAGUGUUGCAUACUGAUUUAAUUGAGAUGAACUCUCAGUUAUACUGCUCCCUUUAUUUAGUCCUUAUUCAUGUAGUUUUAUUUAUCUGGUAAUUAUGUUCUCCUACUUUGUUACUUUGCAAAUCACUUUAUAAACAAACUUCCUUCAGAACUUCUGUUUAUUAGGUAACAUCCUAGACUAAUCACUGCAUCUAGGUAUUUAUGAGCAAAUGAGACUCUAAUUUUGCAUUAUAAAUGAUCUUCCUUUAUAACCUCUGCUAAAUAUUCACAUCCUAGUUUAAUGGUUGCAUCUAGUUAGAUAUUUAUGUUCUGCUUUUGCUUUAUUCUAGCUGCCUGGAAUUUGUAAGAUUGGUAGGGGCAUGAGAGGACUUAUAUAUUUUUAAGGUGAUAUUAGGCAAAUUUGAUGCUGAAAGUGGCAUCACUAUUCAGCAUUCUCUUGGACCAGAUGUAGGAAAGUCCCCUGCAAUUAUUUUUAGACAAAAAUUAUGAGUCUUUUAGCUUCUUAGAAAAAAAAAUAUUGGGAUUUGGGAACUGCCUGUUUAAUUGCAUGGAAAGUUAUUGGCUAUUUAUACUACUUCAUGAGUACUAAUAUUGUGGUGAGUGUCUGAUCAAUCAAAAUUUUGCAUUUGGUUGUUAUGAUGAUAAUUCUCAUGUCUUAUGGCACUUACAGGGCUUUGGCUAAUGUAGCUGUUAAUGGAGGAGGAGAUCAUCGCUGAUUGUUUGUGAUGGUUUCGUUGUCAAGGACCCCUUUAUAUGUUUCUCCUCUUUAGGAUCUUGUUCAGCUUCCAGAUUUUGACUUUUUUUUUAUUAUUAUUUUCUAGAAGAUUACACUCUUCAUCAGGACAAUUUUUCUAAUCCCAUGAUCUGCCAGUGGGUUUCCUUCAAUAUAUCUGUAUCUGCAUUUCCUUGGGAGAUUGUUCUUGUUUCUGAAAAGAUAUACCAAACUCAAUAGUGACUCGCAUUUCUGGAAGAAUGUACAAGUUCAAUGGAAAUAAAUAUAUAUUCCAAUUGCUA